CUCUCGAAACGAGGCUAAAGUGAAAUCCGACGAUAACGAGACUUUAUUUACCUAUCCUACAAAUCUUGCUGCCCAGAGCCGCUAACCAUCAUCAGAAGUAGAGAGAAGCUGACCAAAGACAAUAGAGAAAAGAUGCCUAGGUGGUUCGAUCCGUGGCCCGUCUUCUUCAAGCGAGAGUUCAAUAGGAACUGGCCGUUCCUGGUCGGCUUUGCCGUAACUGGAGCCCUCAUCACCAAGUUCUCUCUUGGCCUUACAGAGGAGGAUGCGAAAAAUUCACCUUUCGUCCAGAGGCACAAGAGAUGAAUUGGAAACCCAACAAAGUUAUCAGCAGUGUACCACUCAUUGCUGGAAAGGAAAUAGAUUUGUUCUGUUUUCUUGGUCUAUAA
RNAcentral lists this unclassified non-coding RNA (386 nucleotides) under Hevea brasiliensis (rubber tree). The record is from RNAcentral. Lineage: Eukaryota; Viridiplantae; Streptophyta; Magnoliopsida; Malpighiales; Euphorbiaceae.